This is a long non-coding RNA of Dipodomys ordii (Ord's kangaroo rat), 774 nucleotides long. RefSeq lists it as uncharacterized. The record is from RefSeq and is a predicted model, not a curated record. The transcript is spliced from 3 exons. Lineage: Eukaryota; Metazoa; Chordata; Mammalia; Rodentia; Heteromyidae.
UAGGAACUCGCUACCUAACGUCCUGCGUGGAAGAAGCACUGGAGGGGCUCAGGAAGAAAUUAGGCACUUCCAUAUCUGUAUGGGCUGCACAACUUUUAAGCCCGGGAAACUUAAAAGAUGCGGACACACACAGGUACAGGAAGCAGAGCCAGACGGCCGCUGGCCGGGAGACUUUGUCUUUCAUUCAUUCUGUCGGCCUCGGUGGAGUUCCCGGCUAGCAACCAGCCCUGCAACAGAAAUUGGGCGGGUUUUUGUUGUGUUGUUGUUGUUGUUUUUCUUAAGGUCCUGCCAUUCGCUAGGAGAAAAUCGAUGCUUCGGUGAGAAACACUCAAGAGAAUCGGAUCCAGCUUCUCAGCAGCUGGCAAAGAAGUAAAAGCAUGAUUUAUUCUUUGACCGUGAAAACCUUCUGGAUCACUUCUAAUGCUGCUUUCCAGAUGACUUGUGAAGCUGGCACCGGAGCUCAGCAGCAGGAUUUCAUAGAGCUCAGCUCCAUAGGACAACCUUGAAUUAUCAGAAACAAGUAAUAUGGAAAUGCAUGGCUUCCCAAAGGAGUGAACUUCCCAUCACCAAUGAUACAAACCUCAAAAAUCUGAAUGCAUACCUCCUGACCACUGGGGGGAGCCACACACAGUGCUUGGAGGCAUUGCUAAAAUGGGAUCUGUUGGUACCCUGGCUUUGUGUCUUUUUAAGGUACUUCUGUUAGGGGCCUGAGCUUUUUCAUCUGUUCAAUGCUUUAAUACCGCUUAGGGUCCCAGCUGGCUCUAAUAAGGUAAA